Molecule: unclassified non-coding RNA, 355 nt
Filed under: soil metagenome
Description: partial contains 5.8S ribosomal RNA, internal transcribed spacer 2, and large subunit ribosomal RNA
Rfam family: 5.8S ribosomal RNA (bases 1-120)
Source: RNAcentral
GAUGAAGAACGUAGCGAAAUGCGAUAAGUAGUGUGAAUUGCAGAAUUCAGUGAAUCAUCGAAUCUUUGAACGCACAUUGCGCCUUCUAGUAUUCUGGGAGGCAUGCCUGUUUGAGCGUCAUUAAACCUCUCUCAAGUAUGAUUACUUGGAUGUGAAGGAAGAGUACCUUAAACUUAAGGAGUGUUCUCCUUUGAAAUUGAUUAGCAGAUGGUAAUGUUAUUAAAUCCCUGAUGUUGUAAGAAAUAACAGUGGUUUUGUAGACUAUUAUCUAGCUUUAAAUUAUAAUUUUUAUUAUGGUUGACCUCAAAUCAGGUAAGGAUACCCGCUGAACUUAAGCAUAUCAAUAAGCGGAGGA